Mus musculus (house mouse) is the source of this 590-nucleotide long non-coding RNA. RefSeq annotates it as predicted gene, 32294. The transcript has 3 exons. NCBI's taxonomy places the organism in Eukaryota, Metazoa, Chordata, Mammalia, Rodentia, Muridae. The record is from RefSeq and is a predicted model, not a curated record.
AUUUCGGCAAUGUGGAAUCAGCUAUCUGUCUCUAGAAUUGCUGUCAUUUGCCUGAUUGUGUUCAAGGAAGGAAAACCCAAAAUACUACUUAGCAGGAGAGGAGGCGAGAUCACGACCAUCCACAGUGUCAGUUGGGCUGGCAAAGUCUUUACUUAAUGUUAGGGCUCUUGGUUCUCACUUUAGAGAAGUGAAUUAGUGAAAACCAUCAAGAGUUGUGGAGCCUGUCACCCUGGUUUGAACUCUGGCUUCUCUACAGCUGUCACUGGCCCACUUCUCCGGGCUUUCAUUUUUCCAACUGAGAAAUGGAGACAGGUCUCACUUGGCAGCCAGCUGGUCAGGGACCAGCUGCUGAUAUAGAACUUGCAACAAUCCUCCUGCCUCAGUCUCCUUGAUGCUGGGAUUAGAAGUGCGAGCCACUAUGCUUAGGGUUAUUUUCUUCCUUAGAAGUUCCCUCUUCCCUUGGUAGGAUGGCUGCCAGAUGCUGCCUCUAUUGGCAGCCACAAGAAGCCAACGCAAGUGUGAAGUAAUACUUCUGCCCCGGGGCUGGCUCCACCCUGUUGACCAAGAUUUUUUUUUUUUUUUUUUUUUUU